Molecule: long non-coding RNA, 525 nt
Organism: Myxocyprinus asiaticus (Chinese sucker)
Lineage: Eukaryota; Metazoa; Chordata; Actinopteri; Cypriniformes; Catostomidae
Exons: 3
Source: RefSeq, a predicted model, not a curated record
AUUGAAGUGAGCGGAGCUGCAGUUUGUUUCUAUUCAUCGUCAGGAUUAACCGACGACGUGCUCAGAUUACAGGGUGUCAUUAGAAACAGAGGAUCGUGCGCGUACAUGUGCUCUUUGUUCUUUGAAAACAUGCCAUGUGCGCACCUGCGGACCAGAGAGAUCGUGGAGUUGAUUUUACUGCCUCAUAUCAUCCUCCAGGAAGUGGCAUCAUUUUUGGAAGGAAAACAACAGCUCAAACAUCAGUGGGACCAGAACCCAUGUCUCUGAGGCUGCUCACAAAACGUGCCAACAGUCGCACCCCAGGAAAAGGUAAACAUACUUGAACUGAUGCAGAAAUGUCUGAUGUGAUGGUGCUUGUCAGUAAGUCAGCAGAACGCGGUCAAUGACAGGGAACUGGAAGAUUUGGUAGCAACAUGUUGACUUCUUGUGUGAUCAUAUUGCAAAUGCACAAUGGUUCAGACCCAAAAGUACAAUGCAAAAAUAGAAAAAGGAGGGGGCUAGAAUCAAGGUUUUGGACCAAGCAAA